GUCUGACGGAGCAACGCCGCGUGAGUGAUGAAGGUUUUCGGAUCGUAAAGCUCUGUUGUUAGGGAAGAACAAGUGCAAGAGUAACUGCUUGCACCUUGACGGUACCUAACCAGAAAGCCACGGCUAACUACGUGCCAGCAGCCGCGGUAAUACGUAGGUGGCAAGCGUUGUCCGGAAUUAUUGGGCGUAAAGGGCUCGCAGGCGGUUUCUUAAGUCUGAUGUGAAAGCCCCCGGCUCAACCGGGGAGGGUCAUUGGAAACUGGGAAACUUGAGUGCAGAAGAGGAGAGUGGAAUUCCACGUGUAGCGGUGAAAUGCGUAGAGAUGUGGAGGAACACCAGUGGCGAAGGCGACUCUCUGGUCUGUAACUGACGCUGAGGAGCGAAAGCGUGGGGAGCGAACAGGAUUAGAUACCCUGGUAGUCCACGCCGUAAACGAUGAGUGCUAAGUGUUAGGGGGUUUCCGCCCCUUAGUGCUGCAGCUAACGCAUUAAGCACUCCGCCUGGGGAGUACGGUCGCAAGACUGAAACUCAAAGGAAUUGACGGGGGCCCGCACAAGCGGUGGAGCAUGUGGUUUAAUUCGAAGCAACGCGAAGAACCUUACCAGGUCUUGACAUCCUCUGACAACCCUAGAGAUAGGGC
Molecule: ribosomal RNA, 640 nt
Filed under: Bacillus sp. MN49
Lineage: Bacteria; Bacillati; Bacillota; Bacilli; Caryophanales; Bacillaceae
Description: bacterial SSU rRNA
Rfam family: Bacterial small subunit ribosomal RNA
Source: RNAcentral